CAUGCAGUCGAGCGGUAAGGCCCUUUCGGGGUACACGAGCGGCGAACGGGUGAGUAACACGUGGGUGAUCUGCCUCGCACUCUGGGAUAAGCCUGGGAAACUGGGUCUAAUACCGGAUAUGACCUUACAUCGCAUGGUGUUUGGUGGAAAGAUUUAUCGGUGCGAGAUGGGCCCGCGGCCUAUCAGCUUGUUGGUGGGGUAAUGGCCUACCAAGGCGACGACGGGUAGCCGGCCUGAGAGGGCGACCGGCCACACUGGGACUGAGACACGGCCCAGACUCCUACGGGAGGCAGCAGUGGGGAAUAUUGCACAAUGGGCGAAAGCCUGAUGCAGCGACGCCGCGUGAGGGAUGACGGCCUUCGGGUUGUAAACCUCUUUCGACAGGGACGAAGCGCAAGUGACGGUACCUGUAGAAGAAGCACCGGCCAACUACGUGCCAGCAGCCGCGGUAAUACGUAGGGUGCGAGCGUUGUCCGGAAUUACUGGGCGUAAAGAGCUUGUAGGCGGCUUGUCGCGUCGAUCGUGAAAACUUGGGGCUCAACCCCAAGCUUGCGGUCGAUACGGGCAGGCUUGAGUACUUCAGGGGAGACUGGAAUUCCUGGUGUAGCGGUGAAAUGCGCAGAUAUCAGGAGGAACACCGGUGGCGAAGGCGGGUCUCUGGGAAGUAACUGACGCUGAGAAGCGAAAGCGUGGGUAGCGAACAGGAUUAGAUACCCUGGUAGUCCACGCCGUAAACGGUGGGUACUAGGUGUGGGUUUCCUUCCACGGGAUCCGUGCCGUAGCUAACGCAUUAAGUACCCCGCCUGGGGAGUACGGCCGCAAGGCUAAAACUCAAAGGAAUUGACGGGGGCCCGCACAAGCGGCGGAGCAUGUGGAUUAAUUCGAUGCAACGCGAAGAACCUUACCUGGGUUUGACAUACACCGGAAACC
Molecule: ribosomal RNA, 930 nt
Filed under: Nocardia cyriacigeorgica
Lineage: Bacteria; Bacillati; Actinomycetota; Actinomycetes; Mycobacteriales; Nocardiaceae
Description: bacterial SSU rRNA
Rfam family: Bacterial small subunit ribosomal RNA
Source: RNAcentral